This 57-nucleotide transfer RNA is filed under the name Physa fontinalis. Its description in RNAcentral is "tRNA-Gly". Lineage: Eukaryota; Metazoa; Mollusca; Gastropoda; Physidae. The record is from RNAcentral.
UUUUUAGUAGUAUAAUUAGAGUACAUUUACCUUCCAAGUAAAAAGUCUUUUAAAGCU